Molecule: ribosomal RNA, 389 nt
Filed under: uncultured bacterium
Lineage: Bacteria
Description: bacterial SSU rRNA
Rfam family: Bacterial small subunit ribosomal RNA
Source: RNAcentral
AUUGAACGCUGGCGGCAUGCCUUACACAUGCAAGUCGAACGGCAGCACGGGAGCAAUCCUGGUGGCGAGUGGCGAACGGGUGAGUAAUAUAUCGGAACGUGCCCAGUCGUGGGGGAUAACGUAGCGAAAGCUACGCUAAUACCGCAUACGAUCUAAGGAUGAAAGCGGGGGAUCGCAAGACCUCGCGCGAUUGGAGCGGCCGAUAUCAGAUUAGGUAGUUGGUGAGGUAAAGGCUCACCAAGCCAACGAUCUGUAGCUGGUCUGAGAGGACGACCAGCCACACUGGAACUGAGACACGGUCCAGACUCCUACGGGAGGCAGCAGUGGGGAAUUUUUGGACAAUGGGCGCAAGCCUGAUCCAGCAAUGCCGCGUGCAGGAUGAAGGCCUU